This 585-nucleotide ribosomal RNA is filed under the name uncultured bacterium. Its description in RNAcentral is "bacterial SSU rRNA". It matches the Rfam family "Bacterial small subunit ribosomal RNA", at positions 338 to 916 of the family's 1533-position model. The record is from RNAcentral.
CCUACGGGAGGCAGCAGUGGGGAAUUUUGGACAAUGGGCGCAAGCCUGAUCCAGCAAUGCCGCGUGCAGGAUGAAGGCCUUCGGGUUGUAAACUGCUUUUGUACGGAACGAAACGGCCCUUUCUAAUACAAGGGGUUAAUGACGGUACCGUAAGAAUAAGCACCGGCUAACUACGUGCCAGCAGCCGCGGUAAUACGUAGGGUGCGAGCGUUAAUCGGAAUUACUGGGCGUAAAGCGUGCGCAGGCGGUUAUAUAAGACAGAUGUGAAAUCCCCGGGCUCAACCUGGGACCUGCAUUUGUGACUGUAUAGCUAGAGUACGGUAGAGGGGGAUGGAAUUCCGCGUGUAGCAGUGAAAUGCGUAGAUAUGCGGAGGAACACCGAUGGCGAAGGCAAUCCCCUGGACCUGUACUGACGCUCAUGCACGAAAGCGUGGGGAGCAAACAGGAUUAGAUACCCUGGUAGUCCACGCCCUAAACGAUGUCAACUGGUUGUUGGGUCUUCACUGACUCAGUAACGAAGCUAACGCGUGAAGUUGACCGCCUGGGGAGUACGGCCGCAAGGUUGAAACUUAAAGGAAUUGACGG